UACGGAGGGAGCUAGCGUUGUUCGGAAUUACUGGGCGUAAAGCGCACGUAGGCGGCUUUGUAAGUUAGAGGUGAUAGCCUGGAGCUCAACUCCAGAAUUGCCUUUAAGACUGCAUCGCUUGAAUCCAGGAGAGGUGAGUGGAAUUCCGAGUGUAGAGGCGAAAUUCGUAGAUAUUCGGAAGAACGCCAGUGGCGAAGGCGUCUCACUGGACUGGUAUUGACGCUGAGGUGCGAAAGCGUGGGGAGCAAACAGGAUUAAUACCCCCUGG
This 268-nucleotide ribosomal RNA is filed under the name uncultured Sphingomonadales bacterium. Its description in RNAcentral is "partial 16S ribosomal RNA". It matches the Rfam family "Bacterial small subunit ribosomal RNA", at positions 524 to 790 of the family's 1533-position model. The record is from RNAcentral. Lineage: Bacteria; Pseudomonadati; Pseudomonadota; Alphaproteobacteria; Sphingomonadales.